GACGAACGCUGGCGGCGUGCUUAACACAUGCAAGUCGAACGGAAAGGCCCUGCUUUUGUUGGGUGCUCGAGUGGCGAACGGGUGAGUAACACGUGAGUAACCUGCCCUUGACUUUGGGAUAACUUCACGAAACUGGGGCUAAUACCGGAUAGGAGCUCCUGCUGCAUGGUGGUGGUUGGAAAGUUUCGGCGGUUGGGGAUGGACUCGCGGCUUAUCAGCUUGUUUGUGGGGUAGUGGCUUACGAAGGGUUUGACGGGUAGCCGGCCUGAGAGGGUGACCGGGCACAUGGGGCCUGAGAGAGGGACCAGAAUCCAACGGGAGGCAGCAGGGGGGAACAUUGCACAAUGGGCGGAAGCCUGAUGCAGCAACGCCGGGUGCGGGAUGACGGGUUUCGGGUUGUAAACAGCUUUCGCAGGUGACGAAGCGGGAGUGACGGUAAUGGGUAAAGAAGCACCGGCUAACUACGUG
RNAcentral lists this ribosomal RNA (468 nucleotides) under uncultured bacterium. RNAcentral describes it as "partial 16S ribosomal RNA". It matches the Rfam family "Bacterial small subunit ribosomal RNA", at positions 28 to 507 of the family's 1533-position model. The record is from RNAcentral.